CAAAAGGAUUUGUUUUGGACAGGUAAAUUUUGAUGUGAUACAAAUGUUUUAUGAGCAGAAACUUAAGAAAAUUUAGGGUGAGCCAAUCUGAUAUAGCAUAUGGAUGAAGAAUCAUGCUUGCUUGGAUCCCUUGUUUGCCAAUAAAUCGCAAACCAAAAAUUACAAGCAGUUUGAGAAGAAGAAAAAUGUAAGAAGUAGGUUCUUAAGUGGGUGGAAACGAAGAUUUGGUCCAAGGAAAAGAAAUAUAAAAACUUAGUUAUAAGGUGAGUGUGAAGAGCACUAAUGGUCUGUUGGUGGCACCCUGGCCCCUCUAUGAUUCCAAAUUUGACGAGAGGUAAUGGGAUUCUCUCCUCUAUUUCUUUUUCUGCACACAAAUCUAAUCAUCUUCUGCAUCAUCAUUCACUUAACUUCAUACAUGUUCCACUUCCACCAUUUCAUGUUUCUAUUACUUUUCACUCCAAUUCGUUACUUUUGCCUUCGCCUAAUCCAAAUCUAGGAGCAUAUGCCUCAUCACUGUGUUUUUAAUUCUCGAGAAUAGGAUAUGAAUAUGAUACUAAACCGGUGUGGAGAAGAUACUCAUAUUCUUGUAGCAGGACUAAAAAUCUCCUGAAGAAAACACCAGAAUAAUAAACAGAAACAACCGUUGCAGGACAUGUUGUUCUUCUUUUCUAGUCAGCAUGAUGAGACAGAUCAAGAAUAUGAAAGCCAAGCAAAAGCAUGAGAAAUUAUUUUUCAACAACAAAUUUGAACAAAGAUUAUGCAUUUACGAAAGAGAUCAGAAGAAAAGAGAGAAAUCUUUGAUAAGACAAGUGAUGUGAUAAAAAAAGUAAUCUUCCAAAUAAUGCUGUUAGAAUAAUAUUUAAGUUAGCUUAAUUUUGCCAGACUAAUUAUCUACACUUUAUAUAACUUUUGUGCACAUUUGUAAUACAAAACAAUUUCUCAGCUAAUUUAUAUUUUUAAGAUAACGUGUUUGAAUUGACAUAAAGAAAACAAAAAGGACUAAAAGUUAUAUCCGUAGUUUUUAUUUUUAAAAAGCAAACAUUUUUUCUUAUGUAACCUAAGCAUUUGAUCCUUUCGUUUUUCAAUUGUUGACUUAAAGGUGACAUGAAGUUUGGUGGAGAAAGCUACAGAUAAAGAUCUACUGCCACACUGAACGCAUUGAUUCAUUGGUAAAUCAGCAUAAGAAGUUAAUAACCUCUUCUACUUUGUUAGAGAGAAUGGUAUAAACAUGAGAAAUUGUUUUGUAUUAAUGUUUUUCAUUAUUAUAUGAUAAAUGAAUGAAAAAAUAAAAUAAUAAUAUUUUUUUUUGUUAU
Molecule: long non-coding RNA, 1313 nt
Filed under: Phaseolus vulgaris (common bean)
Lineage: Eukaryota; Viridiplantae; Streptophyta; Magnoliopsida; Fabales; Fabaceae
Description: long non-coding RNA (PVUL_LNC004077)
Source: RNAcentral